UACGUAGGGUGCAAGCGUUAAUCGGAAUUACUGGGCGUAAAGCGUGCGCAGGCGGUUCGAAAAGAAAGAUGUGAAAUCCCAGGGCUCAACCUUGGAACUGCAUUUUUAACUCUCGAACUAGAGUGCGUCAGAGGGGGGUGGAAUUUCGCGUGUAGCAGUGAAAUGCGUAGAUAUGCGGAGGAACACCGAUGNNGAAGGCAGCCCCCUGGGAUGACACUGACGCUCAUGCACGAAAGCGUGGGGAGCAAACAGGAUUAGAUACCCUGGUAGUCCACGCCCUAAACGAUGUCAACUAGCUGUUGGGGCCUUCGGGCCUUGGUAGCGCGGCUAACGCGUGAAGUUGACCGCCUGGGGAGUACGGUCGCAAGAUUAAAACUCAAAGGAAUUGACGGGGACCCGCACAAGCGGUGGAUGAUGUGGAUUAAUUCGAUGCAACGCGAAAAACCUUACCUACCCUUGACAUGUCUGGAAUCCUGAAGAGAUUUAGGAGUGCUCGCAAGAGAACCGGAACACAGGUGCUGCAUGUCUGUCGUCAGCUCGUGUCGUGAGAUGUUGGGUUAAGUCCCGCAACGAGCGUAACCCUUGUCAUUAGUUGCUACGAAAGGGCACUCUAAUGAGACUGCCGGUGACAAACCGGAGGAAGGUGGGGAUGACGUCAAG
RNAcentral lists this ribosomal RNA (660 nucleotides) under uncultured prokaryote. Its description in RNAcentral is "bacterial SSU rRNA". It matches the Rfam family "Bacterial small subunit ribosomal RNA", at positions 524 to 1189 of the family's 1533-position model. The record is from RNAcentral.